CCGGCUACUCCGUGCCAGCAGCCGCGUAAUACGUAGGGUGCAAGCGUUAUCGGAAUUAUUGGCGUAAAGCGCACGCAGGCGGUCUGUCAGUCGGAUGUGAAAUCCCCGGGCUCAACUGGAAACUGCAUUCGAAACUGCAGGCUAGAGUCUGUAGAGGGGGGUAGAAUUCCAGGUGUAGCGGUGAAAUGGUAGAGAUCUGGAGGAAUACCGGUGGGGAAGGCGGCCCCCUGGACAAAGACUGACGCUCAGGUGCGAAAGCGUGGGGGAGCAAACAGGAUUAGAUACCCUGGUAGUACACGCCGUAAACGAUGUCGAUUGGGAGGUUGUGCCCUUGAGGGCGUGGCUUCCGGAGCAAACGCGUUAAAUCGACCCGCCUGGGGAGUACGGCCCGCAAGGUUAAAACUCAAAUGAAUUGACGGGGGCCCGCACAAGCGGUGGAGCAUGUGGUUUAAUUCGAUGCAACGCGAAGAACCUUACCUGGUCUUGACAUCCACAGAACUUUCCAGAGAUGGAUUGGUGCCUUCGGGAACUGUGAGACAGGUGCUGCAUGGCUGUCGUCAGCUCGUGUUGUGAAAUGUUGGGUUAAGUCCCGCAACGAGCGCAACCCUUAUCCUUUGUUGCCAGCGGUUAGGCCGGGAACUCAAAGGAGACUGCCAGUGAUAAACUGGAGGAAGGUGGGGAUGACGUCAAGUCAUCAUGGCCCUUACGACCAGGGCUACACACGUGCUACAAUGGCAUAUACAAAGAGAAGCGACCUCGCGAGAGCAAGCGGACCUCAUAAAGUAUGUCGUAGUCCGGAUUGGAGUCUGCAACUCGACUCCAUGAAGUCGGAAUCGCUAGUAAUCGUAGAUCAGAAUGCUACGGUGAAUACGUUCCCGGGCCUUGUACACACCUCCCAUCACACCAUGGGAGUGG
RNAcentral lists this ribosomal RNA (915 nucleotides) under Escherichia coli. Its description in RNAcentral is "bacterial SSU rRNA". It matches the Rfam family "Bacterial small subunit ribosomal RNA", at positions 493 to 1413 of the family's 1533-position model. The record is from RNAcentral. Lineage: Bacteria; Pseudomonadati; Pseudomonadota; Gammaproteobacteria; Enterobacterales; Enterobacteriaceae.